GACAGAGGCCUCGAGCGUUAGGCGGAAUCACUGGGCUUAAAGCGUGUGUAGGCGGAUCGUUAAGUACCUUGUGAAAUCCCACGGCUCAACCGUGGAACGGCUGGGUAUACUGGCGGUCUUGGGCCAUUCAGGGGCGACUGGAACAAGUGGUGGAGCGGUGAAAUGCGUAGAUAUCGCUUGGAACGCCGAAGGUGAAAACAGGUCGCUGGGGCUGUGCCGACGCUGAGACACGAAAGCCAGGGGAGCAAACGGG
Molecule: ribosomal RNA, 253 nt
Filed under: uncultured bacterium
Lineage: Bacteria
Description: partial 16S ribosomal RNA
Rfam family: Bacterial small subunit ribosomal RNA
Source: RNAcentral